This 267-nucleotide ribosomal RNA is filed under the name uncultured Aeromicrobium sp. RNAcentral's name for it is "partial 16S ribosomal RNA". It matches the Rfam family "Bacterial small subunit ribosomal RNA", at positions 505 to 768 of the family's 1533-position model. The record is from RNAcentral. Lineage: Bacteria; Bacillati; Actinomycetota; Actinomycetes; Propionibacteriales; Nocardioidaceae.
GUGCCAGCAGCGGCGGUAAUACGUAGGGUCCGAGCGUUGUCCGGAAUUAUUGGGCGUAAAGGGCUCGUAGGCGGUCUGUCGCGUCGGGAGUGAAAACUCAGGGCCUCAACCCUGAGCGUGCUUCCGAUACGGGCAGACUAGAGGUAUGCAGGGGAGAACGGAAUUCCUGGUGUAGCGGUGGAAUGCGCAGAUAUCAGGAGGAACACCGGUGGCGAAGGCGGUUCUCGUGGGCAUUACCUGACGCUGGAGGAGCGAAAGCAGUGGGGA